AGGAGAUCCUACAGGUUGUCGUCUUUCUUAGCUUCUGGUCUGACACGAGUAGUCAUGGACAAAAAAGAAGAGACAGAAGAUUGCAUGCAGUAAGACACAAGUCACCCAACGGUCAACAGAGCUACGCUGCAGCUCUUCAUAGUUCCGGUGGCUCUAACUGCAGAUCAUUGAGCGCCUUUCGGUCGACCUCUGACCUGUAGCUGCUGUCGAGGGGGCACCUAAGGCGGUUCGGCUGCUCGAGGGCCGAGGGGUCUCCUGCCGCGGAGACACAGAGAGGCGGUAUUACUGUCCGACCUUCCUGGAAGCCAUUACCGGCCACUGUAUCCGAGCACUCGCCCCAGAGGAGCACUCGUCAGCCCCGUCCGCCACACCAGCUUUUCCAGGACGAACGACAACACGGGAGCUGUCGGGGCCGACGGACCGGCAUUGUGGCUCCGCCUGUCCGCCGGCGGCCCGUUUGUUGAUUCAGUCGCGGCACGACGAUCCUCCUCCCACCACGGAGCCCCGCGGCGCGACGACCGG
This is a long non-coding RNA of Amphibalanus amphitrite, 522 nucleotides long. RefSeq lists it as uncharacterized. The record is from RefSeq and is a predicted model, not a curated record. NCBI's taxonomy places the organism in Eukaryota, Metazoa, Arthropoda, Thecostraca, Balanomorpha, Balanidae. The transcript is spliced from 3 exons.